GCCGCUAUGGUGAAAUUGGUAGAC
Molecule: non-coding RNA, 24 nt
Filed under: Arabidopsis thaliana (thale cress)
Lineage: Eukaryota; Viridiplantae; Streptophyta; Magnoliopsida; Brassicales; Brassicaceae
Also listed under: 103 other names
Source: RNAcentral